GACGAACCGUGCGAACGUUAUUCGGAAUCAUUGGGCUUAAAGGGCGCGUAGGCGGCGGCGUCAGUUGGAAGUGAAAUCCCAUCGGCUCAACCGUGGAAUUGCUCCCAGUACUGCGUCGCUCGAGGGGGAUAGGGGUCUGCGGAACUACCGGUGGAGCGGUGAAAUGUGUUGAUAUCGGUGGGAACGCCAGUGGCGAAAGCGGCAGACUUGACCCUUCCUGACGCUGAGGCGCGAAAGCUAGGGGAGCAAACGGG
This 254-nucleotide ribosomal RNA is filed under the name uncultured bacterium. Its description in RNAcentral is "partial 16S ribosomal RNA". It matches the Rfam family "Bacterial small subunit ribosomal RNA", at positions 524 to 776 of the family's 1533-position model. The record is from RNAcentral.